UUAUUGUAUCUGUAGAUUAUCAUAAAAAGGCAACAACCAGAGCAACUUGAAAAGAAAUAUUAAAGACUCAAAUAUAAAGAUAACAACCAUGGUAUAAUAAAACUUCUUCAGCUCAAGAAAGCUGUCCACAGUCAGCAACAACAACAGGCUUAGAGGUCCUUCCAUUAGACGACCCAAACUUCUCUAUAGCCUUCACAACAUCCAGACCCUCCACUACUCUUCCAAACACCACGUGUUUUCCAUCGAGCCAUUCAGUCUUG
RNAcentral lists this long non-coding RNA (260 nucleotides) under Populus trichocarpa (black cottonwood). RNAcentral describes it as "long non-coding RNA (PTRI_LNC000534)". Lineage: Eukaryota; Viridiplantae; Streptophyta; Magnoliopsida; Malpighiales; Salicaceae. The record is from RNAcentral.